Molecule: ribosomal RNA, 372 nt
Filed under: Triticum aestivum (bread wheat)
Lineage: Eukaryota; Viridiplantae; Streptophyta; Magnoliopsida; Poales; Poaceae
Description: partial small subunit ribosomal RNA
Source: RNAcentral
AUGCGCACAAAUAGAACUAAUGUACCUCCUGGUUUUGCAAAUCAAGGUAGACAGGAGGCACACAACUCAGUGGGUACUCCUAUUAUAGCAAGGUACAAUGUCCACACACCUGCAUUCAAUCACUUCUAUCAGAAUAAUAGAGACAGACAGAUGUGGCAGGGUUAUCACAAAACCUAUGAACUUGAUAUGCAAGCUCAGUUCAUGAGGUCACUAACUAAAGGGCCUAAACUGGAUUUUCCUAGGUUUUCUGGUGAAGACCCAGUGGGUUGGAGAACGCAAUGCACAAAUAUAUCCAAAUGUCAGCUGCACCAGAGGAGUAUAAGGUUUCUCUUGCUCAAAUGUAUAUCAUUGGAGAAGCUGAUAUCUGGUUAA